Small nucleolar RNA from Sorex fumeus (smoky shrew), 130 nucleotides. RefSeq annotates it as U8 small nucleolar RNA. Lineage: Eukaryota; Metazoa; Chordata; Mammalia; Eulipotyphla; Soricidae. The record is from RefSeq and is a predicted model, not a curated record. The transcript has a single exon.
UCCUCAGGCAGGAUAUUCCUUAUCUGAUCCUCUAUUCAGAGGGCAGAUAGAGCAUGGCGAUUGGAGUUCGCAUGAUUCAUGAUUAAUGUCUCUGCGUGAUUAGGGCAUAUCCUAGUUGUUCUUAUCUGAU